GGCAUACCCUUCGACAAGUUACUAUGUUUCCCAAUUGAAUUCAUAAGUUCAUUAGAGCUCCAAAAGACAUUUUUUUUGCCAUUUGGGGUGCUUUGAAAAAUUGGUCAAAAGGAAAUUUUUUUUUUUUCCUUUUCCUAUUCAAAUAGAAAUUUUGCGGAAAAUAACUUCUAAAAGAGAAACAUUUUCCAAAAUUUGACAAACUUGAUAGAAUUAAAGGAACCUAUAAAAGAACCACAUAAACACGUAGCCAUAGCCUAUUGACAAUUGCUGGUCAUUCUUAGCUUUCACUAGCAACCAACACUAGUUGCUGGCCAUAACAACAAUUUUACCUGUUCUUUUAUUCUUAUAUUCAACAACAAAUAGAAAAAUAGGAAGAUCCUUAUUGGUUUAAAAAGUUUCAUAAUAUUAUAUAUCAAACGAAAGUAAUG
This 428-nucleotide unclassified non-coding RNA is filed under the name Hevea brasiliensis (rubber tree). The record is from RNAcentral. Lineage: Eukaryota; Viridiplantae; Streptophyta; Magnoliopsida; Malpighiales; Euphorbiaceae.